AGGCUGGGGAUAACAUUUGGAAACAGAUGCUAAUACCGAAUAAAACUUAGUGUCGCAUGACACAAAGUUAAAAGGCGCUUCGGCGUCACCUAGAGAUGGAUCCGCGGUGCAUUAGUUAGUUGGUGGGGUAAAGGCCUACCAAGACAAUGAUGCAUAGCCGAGUUGAGAGACUGAUCGGCCACAUUGGGACUGAGACACGGCCCAAACUCCUACGGGAGGCUGCAGUAGGGAAUCUUCCACAAUGGGCGAAAGCCUGAUGGAGCAACGCCGCGUGAGUGAAGAAGGUUUUCGGAUCGUAAAACUCUGUUGUUAGAGAAGAACGUGUGUGAGAGUAACUGUUCAUGCAGUGACGGUAUCUAACCAGAAAGCCACGGCUAACUACGUGCCAGCAGCCGCGGUAAUACGUAGGUGGCAAGCGUUGUCCGGAUUUAUUGGGCGUAAAGGGAACGCAGGCGGUUUUUUAAGUCUGAUGUGAAAGCCUUCGGCUUAACCGAAGUCAUGCAUUGGAAACUGGAAGACUUGAGUGCAGAAGAGGAGAGUGGAACUCCAUGUGUAGCGGUGAAAUGCGUAGAUAUAUGGAAGAACACCAGUGGCGAAAGCGGCUCUCUGGUCUGU
This 615-nucleotide ribosomal RNA is filed under the name uncultured bacterium. RNAcentral describes it as "bacterial SSU rRNA". It matches the Rfam family "Bacterial small subunit ribosomal RNA", at positions 134 to 737 of the family's 1533-position model. The record is from RNAcentral.